CCUACGGGAGGCAGCAGUAGGGAAUCUUUCACAAUGGGCGAAAGCCUGAUGGAGCAACGCCGCGUGCAGGAUGAAGGCCUUCGGGUUGUAAACUGCUUUUAUAAGCGAGAAAUAUGAUGGUAACUUAUGAAUAAGGAUCGGCUAACUACGUGCCAGCAGCCGCGGUCAUACGUAGGAUCCGAGCAUUAUCCGGAGUGACUGGGUGUAAAGAGUUGCGUAGGUGGCAUAAUUAGUAGCUAGUGAAAUCUGGUGGCUCAACCAUUCAGACUAUUAGCUAAACUGUUAAGCUCGAGACCGUUAGGGGUAACUGGAAUUUCUAGUGUAGGAGUGAAAUCCGUAGAUAUUAGAAGGAACACCAAUAGCGUAGGCAGGUUGCUGGGACGGUUCUGACACUAAGGCACGAAAGCGUAGGGAGCAAACGGGAUUAGAUACCCCAGUAGUC
Molecule: ribosomal RNA, 442 nt
Filed under: uncultured bacterium
Lineage: Bacteria
Description: partial 16S ribosomal RNA
Rfam family: Bacterial small subunit ribosomal RNA
Source: RNAcentral